GAUGAACGCUAGCUACAGGCUUAACACAUGCAAGUCGCGGGGCAGCAUGGGGGUUGCUUGCAAUCCCCGAUGGCGACCGGCGCACGGGUGAGUAACGCGUAUCCAACCUGCCCUUCACCACGGGAUAACCCGGCGAAAGUCGGACUAAUACCGUAUGUUGUCCAUUGACGGCAUCCGAUUUGGACGAAAGGUUUGGCGGUGAAGGAUGGGGAUGCGUCCGAUUAGCUGGACGGCGGGGUGACGGCCCACCGUGGCGACGAUCGGUAGGGGUUCUGAGAGGAAGGUCCCCCACACUGGAACUGAGACACGGCCCAGACUCCUACGGGAGGCAGCAGUGAGGAAUAUUGAUCAAUGGGCGUAAGCCUGAACCAGCCAAGUAGCGUGCAGGAUGACGGCCCUAUGGGUUGUAAACUGCUUUUAUGCGGGGAUAAAGUGGCCCACGUGUGGGUCUUUGCAGGUACCGCAUGAAUAAGGACCGGCUAAUUCCGUG
This 490-nucleotide ribosomal RNA is filed under the name uncultured bacterium. RNAcentral's name for it is "partial 16S ribosomal RNA". It matches the Rfam family "Bacterial small subunit ribosomal RNA", at positions 28 to 507 of the family's 1533-position model. The record is from RNAcentral.